Ochotona princeps (American pika) is the source of this 328-nucleotide small nucleolar RNA. The record is from RefSeq and is a predicted model, not a curated record. Lineage: Eukaryota; Metazoa; Chordata; Mammalia; Lagomorpha; Ochotonidae.
GCCAUGUGAUGAUAUGAAGGCUGUUGUGAUUCAGCUGGCUUGGCUAAGCCCUGGGGCCCCUGACAUCUUCAGGUCUGUAAUCUUGGUGGGCGAUACAGAGCAGUGUCCGUCCGCUGUAAGGGCAGACCAACAGAAACGACUUCCUGCUUUGGAGCUAAUCUCUCUGACCGAGGUCACUCUUCCGGUUGCUGGGGAGAGUUGUGGUAACUGGAGUGAGAAAGCAGGGACAGGGCACAUCUCGUUAGCUGGAGUCAGGGGUCUCUGAGGACUUAGCUCAUUAGCACGGCCGCUGAGAGAUGAAACACAGAUCUUUGGUAAUCUGAUGGCU